Molecule: ribosomal RNA, 906 nt
Filed under: Triticum aestivum (bread wheat)
Lineage: Eukaryota; Viridiplantae; Streptophyta; Magnoliopsida; Poales; Poaceae
Description: partial small subunit ribosomal RNA
Source: RNAcentral
GUACCACCUAAAAUCCGCGUUUUUGCUUGGCGCCUAGCAAAGACGUCUUUGCCAACGGGGGACGUCCGGAAGGAGAGAUCCAUGGCGGACACGGCCGAGUGCUCGAUUUGCCAUGCGGCCGUUGAUAACUGGAGACACUCACUAUUCGAAUGUCAUACGGCCAAAUGUGUGUGGGCGCUUGCGGACAAGGAGGUAACAGAAGUGAUCAUUUCAAACAGGUCGGAAGAUGCUAAGCUAUGGCUAUUUUGGCUAAUGGAUACCCUACCUACGGUGGAACUUACCCGAGUUCUGGUGACUAUGUGGGCUAUUUGGUGGGCCCGGAGGCGAGCCAUUCAUGAUGAUCAAUUCCAGAGUCCUAUGAGUACUCAUUGCUUUGUCAAUAAAUUUUUGGAGGAGCUGGAGAUGGUAGAAGAUCAACGCCUCAACGCCAGGGACUUGCAUAGUUGGCUCCCUCCACUAGAGAGCGAUGCAAAACUGAAUGUGGAUGGCGGCAUAUCUAGAAGGGGAGAUCGAGGGGCUGCAACUGUCAUAUGCCGAGACAAGACUGGCCAGUACUUGGGGGCUUCUGCGAUGGUUUUCGACGGUCUCGUUGACCCAGCGACUCUUGAAGCCCGAGCGUGCAGUGAAGCACUGGCACUAGCAUCAGACCUAAACCUCCGGUCUAUCAGUGUGGCGUCUGAUUGUGCGGAGGUGGUCGCCAAUCUGGAGACUAGAGGUCCGUUCCGCUACGCUAUGAUUCUUGAGGAGUUUAGAGCACAAAGAGUUUCUUUUGACUUUAUUCGAGUAGUUCAUGAGAGGAGGAUCCAUAAUGCUGAGGCUCAUUCGUUGGCCAAAGCGGCCUCCUCUCUCCCUCCUGGGCGCCACGUGUGGCUAGAUGUUUUGCCCAAUAUCAUCUGUAUUCCGUGA